GAUGAAGAACGCAGCGAAAUGCGAUAAGUAAUGUGAAUUGCAGAAUUCAGUGAAUCAUCGAAUCUUUGAACGCACAUUGCGCUCGCCAGUAUUCUGGCGGGCAUGCCUGUUCGAGCGUCAUUUCAACCAUCAAGCCCCCGGCUUGUGUUGGGGACCUGCGGCUGCCGCAGGCCCUGAAAAGCAGUGGCGGGCUCGCUGUCACACCGAGCGUAGUAGCAUACAUCUCGCUCUGGGCGUGCUGCGGGUUCCGGCCGUUAAACCACCUUCAUAACCCAAGGUUGACCUCGGAUCAGGUAGGAAGACCCGCUGAACUUAAGCAUAUCAAUAAGCGGAGGA
RNAcentral lists this unclassified non-coding RNA (336 nucleotides) under soil metagenome. RNAcentral describes it as "partial contains 5.8S ribosomal RNA, internal transcribed spacer 2, and large subunit ribosomal RNA". The stretch from base 1 to 120 matches the Rfam family "5.8S ribosomal RNA", at positions 35 to 154 of the family's 154-position model. The record is from RNAcentral.